Apaloderma vittatum (bar-tailed trogon) is the source of this 600-nucleotide long non-coding RNA. RefSeq lists it as uncharacterized. The record is from RefSeq and is a predicted model, not a curated record. Lineage: Eukaryota; Metazoa; Chordata; Aves; Trogoniformes; Trogonidae. The transcript is spliced from 3 exons.
UCUCCGGGCCGGAGGCCCGUAUGGGAUUUUCGCUGGAAGAGAUGCAUCCCGAGGCCUUGCCACUUUCUGUCUGGAUAAGGAGGCUCUGAGAGAUGAGUAUGAUGACCUCUCCGAUCUCAACGCUACACAGCAAGAGACCUUGAGGGACUGGGAGUCACAAUUCACUUUUAAGUAUCACCAUGUUGGUAAGCUGCUGAAGGAAGGGGAGGAACCCACUGUAUACUCUGAUGAAGAAGAAAAAGAUGCUCACGAUGCAAAGAAAGACUAGAGAGUGCAGUGAUUAACAAUCUGGUGUUCAAUCAUAAAGGAUCAUUUUUAACAUUCCACUUCUGUUUCACAAGUUGCAACAGCAGCAUUGCUUGCAAAAGGUCCAGAGUUAUGAUGAAUCGUUUCUUUUCAAAGACUUACUUUUCAAAUUCAGUAGUAAACUACUAAGAUCUGUCUUCCUUUAAACCUGCACAAUCUGAAGUAUGCACUAAAAGUGUCUGUGCAAAAGUAAACUGCAAUUUUGGCAAUAAAGGACAAUUACUGUUUUUCUUCUAUCACCAGUAGGUUGAAAUCCAGAUUUUCAUUAAGAACCUAGCACUGUGGAAACAAGCA